UGGGGAAUCGUCUAGCGGUAGGACAGCGGACUCUGAAUCCGUAUGGGAAGGUUCGAAUCCUUCUUCCCCAGCCA
Molecule: transfer RNA, 74 nt
Filed under: Dehalococcoides mccartyi
Lineage: Bacteria; Bacillati; Chloroflexota; Dehalococcoidia; Dehalococcoidales; Dehalococcoidaceae
Also listed under: 16 other names
Description: tRNA-Gln
Rfam family: tRNA
About the family: Transfer RNA (tRNA) molecules are approximately 80 nucleotides in length.
Source: RNAcentral